UACGUAGGGAGCAAGCGUUAUCCGGAUUUAUUGGGUGUAAAGGGUGCGUAGGCGGUUUAAUAAGUCUAAGGUUUAAGCCCGAAGCUUAACUUCGGUUCGCCUUAGAAACUGUUUUUCUAGAGUAUGGUAGAGGCAAGUGGAAUUUCUAGUGUAGCGGUAAAAUGCGUAGAUAUUAGAAGGAACACCAGUGGCGAAGGCGGCUUGCUGGGCCAUUACUGACGCUGAGGCACGAAAGCGUGGGGAGC
RNAcentral lists this ribosomal RNA (245 nucleotides) under uncultured Pseudomonadota bacterium. Its description in RNAcentral is "uncultured proteobacterium partial 16S ribosomal RNA". It matches the Rfam family "Bacterial small subunit ribosomal RNA", at positions 524 to 769 of the family's 1533-position model. The record is from RNAcentral. Lineage: Bacteria; Pseudomonadati; Pseudomonadota.